CCUACGGGUGGCAGCAGUGAGGAAUAUUGGUCAAUGGCCGGAAGUCUGAACCAGCCAAGCCGCGUGAAGGACGAAGGUGCCAAGCAUUGUAAACUUCUUUUGGCAAGGGACAAAAUCAGGCUCGAGAGCCUGACCGAGGGUACUUGAAGAAAAAGCAGCGGCUAACUCCGUGCGAGCCGCCGCGGUAAUACGGAGGAUGCGAGCGUAAUCCGGAUUUAUUGGGUUUAAAGGGUGCGUAGGCGGGCUGUUAAGUCAGCGGGAAAAGCCCGGGGCUCAACCCCGGCGAGCCGUUGAAACUGGCUGUCUUGAGAUGUCGCGAGGAAUGCGGAAUGCGCAGUGUAGCGGUGAAAUGCUUAGAUAUUGCGAAGAACUCCGAUUGCGAAGGCAGCAGACCGGCGGCGAUCUGACGCUGAGGCACGAAAGCGUGGGUAUCGAACAGGAUUAGAUACCCUUGUAGUC
This 459-nucleotide ribosomal RNA is filed under the name uncultured bacterium. RNAcentral's name for it is "partial 16S ribosomal RNA". It matches the Rfam family "Bacterial small subunit ribosomal RNA", at positions 338 to 795 of the family's 1533-position model. The record is from RNAcentral.